UACGUAGGGUGCAAGCGUUAAUCGGAAUUACUGGGCGUAAAGCGUGCGCAGGCGGCUUUGCAAGACAGAUGUGAAAUCCCCGGGCUUAACCUGGGAACUGCAUUUGUGACUGCAUGGCUGGAGUGCGGCAGAGGGGGAUGGAAUUCCGCGUGUAGCAGUGAAAUGCGUAGAUAUCGCUUGGAACGCCAACGGUGAAAACAGGUUGCUGGGGGUGUGCUGACGCUGAGACACGAAAGCCAGGGGAGCGAACGGG
This 253-nucleotide ribosomal RNA is filed under the name uncultured bacterium. RNAcentral's name for it is "partial 16S ribosomal RNA". It matches the Rfam family "Bacterial small subunit ribosomal RNA", at positions 524 to 776 of the family's 1533-position model. The record is from RNAcentral.